ACUCUGCCUUAUCUUUUGUUUUUUCUAAGGUUUCAUAUGCUUUUAAUUUUUCCUAAUUGCCCACGCAAAAAAUAUUGAUUUGUAUGUUAACCUUGUCAUUCUUCUUACUUCGGAUUUUUCACAUUCUUCUGAAUUCAUGAAACCUUUAAAAUUAUUUUCGUAAAAUACAUUCAAACAAUUACAUGGACAGGGCAUAUUUGAUAAUCCUAGGACUUCAGAAGAGUUUUCAGCAUGCUAGAAGAACCAAAUUGAAACAACUUGAAAGUUGAAAAAACAGUACGGGUUUUCUCUGCAUCAUCAAAAGCCUCUGAAGCUAUAUCUUCAAGUUGUUUGUCUUCGGGCUUUAUAAUAG
Molecule: long non-coding RNA, 352 nt
Organism: Hylaeus volcanicus
Lineage: Eukaryota; Metazoa; Arthropoda; Insecta; Hymenoptera; Colletidae
Exons: 3
Source: RefSeq, a predicted model, not a curated record